RNAcentral lists this ribosomal RNA (492 nucleotides) under uncultured bacterium. RNAcentral's name for it is "partial 16S ribosomal RNA". It matches the Rfam family "Bacterial small subunit ribosomal RNA", at positions 29 to 507 of the family's 1533-position model. The record is from RNAcentral.
AGUGAACGCUGGCGGUAUGCCUAACACAUGCAAGUCGAACGGCAGCACAGUAAGAGCUUGCUCUUACGGGUGGCGAGUGGCGGACGGGUGAGGAAUACAUCGGAAUCUACUUUUUCGUGGGGGAUAACGUAGGGAAACUUACGCUAAUACCGCAUACGACCUACGGGUGAAAGCAGGGGAUCUUCGGACCUUGCGCGAUUGAAUGAGCCGAUGUCGGAUUAGCUAGUUGGCGGGGUAAAGGCCCACCAAGGCGACGAUCCGUAGCUGGUCUGAGAGGAUGAUCAGCCACACUGGAGCUGAGACAGGGUCCAGACUCCUGCGGGAGGCAGCAGUGGGGAAUAUUGGACAAUGGGCGCAAGCCUGAUCCAGCCAUACCGCGUGGGUGAAGAAGGCCUUCGGGUUGUAAAGCCCUUUUGUUGGGAAAGAAAAGCAGCAGGUUAAUACCCCGCUGUUCUGACGGUACCCAAAGAAUAAGCACCGGCUAACUUCGUG